ACACUCACUCUCACCUCUCCCGUCCACUCACUCUCACCUCUCUCGUCCAGCAGCAGCCGCCACCUCCAUUGUUGCCCUCCCCUCCUCUCCUCUCCUCUCCUCUCUUUCGGUUCCCAGCUGCUCCUCCCUUGUAGCUGCCCUCCUCUCUUCCUUGCGGCUGCUGCUACAAGCGCGCAGACCUGCAGAUCUAGUAGGUGCACAUGUCCAACUGUGCAAGGGAGGAGGACUGCACGACAAAGAUGAGUUCGUCCUCCUUAGUUCAGUCAUCAGUCGUCACCUCCUCGCUCAAGCUUGAUGCUCUCCCUGUGCUUGAGCUUGAUGCUAUGUUUCUCUGUGUACUUGUGUAGAUCUAGAUCGACAAUGGAAGCGUGCAGUGGGAGUGUACAUGCCUAAGGUCAUUCAAGGAGAAGUUGGUUCUGCUCCAACCUCCUCAGUUGCAUUAGGUUCACCUGUUGCUUGUUCAGCAUCCGUAGGUGCUCCAGAUCGGGCUACAGGGGGUGAUUCAAGAGGAGGUUGAAGCCUGGUGCUUGGCUGGCUAUAGGCAGCUGACGGCGCUUGUCGUGUCCUUCUAGGUGUGCUGCCUGCGUCACGUUUUACACUGUUGUUUUAUGUAAUCACAACCACAUGUCUGCUUCUUUUGGAGUUUCGUGGGAUUACCGUCACCCCAACGCUAUGUAACAAAACUCCAUUCUACUUAAUGAAAAACAUGCUUAGGCAUGAUCGCUAAAAAAAGUUGCUCCAGAUCUUGCAUCUCUUGUUGAGAAGGUCCUAUCGAAGCUACCUCCAGAAAUGGCUGCUGAAGGCAAAGA
RNAcentral lists this long non-coding RNA (809 nucleotides) under Sorghum bicolor (sorghum). RNAcentral describes it as "long non-coding RNA (SBIC_LNC005980)". The record is from RNAcentral. Lineage: Eukaryota; Viridiplantae; Streptophyta; Magnoliopsida; Poales; Poaceae.